AACGAUGAUGCUCGCUGUGUGCCUAUGAGGUAUGUGCCAAGGGAAACCAUAAGCAUCCCACCUGGGGAGUACGCCGCAACGGUGAACUCAAGGAAUUGACGGGGCCCGCACAAGCGGAGGACAUGUGGUUUAAUUCGAUGAUACGCGAGGAACCUUACCCGGGCUUGAACUGCAGCAGACGGAUUCAGAGAUGAUGACUCCCUUCGGGGCUGCUGUGGAGGUGCUGCAUGGUUGUCGUCAGCUCGUGCCGUGAGGUGUCGGCUUAAGUGCCAUAACGAGCGCAACCCCUUUCGUUAGUUGCCAUCAGGUGAUGCUGGGCACUCUGGCGAUACUGCCACCGUAAGGUGUGAGGAAGGUGGGGAUGACGUCAAAUCAGCACGGCCCUUACGUCCGGGGCUACACACGUGUUACAAUGGCGCAUACAGAGAGUCGGUUGCAUGUAAAUGUGAUCUAAUCAAUAAAGUGCGUCGUAGUUCGGACUGGGGUCUGCAACCCGACCCCACGAAGCUGGAUUCGCUAGUAAUCGCGCAUCAGCCAUGGCGCGGUGAAUACGUUCCCGGGCCUUGUACACACCGCCCGUCAAGCCAUGAAAGCCGGGGGCACCUGAAGUCUGUGACCGCGAGGGGCGGCCUAAGGUGAAACUGGUAAUUGGGGCU
RNAcentral lists this ribosomal RNA (656 nucleotides) under uncultured rumen bacterium. RNAcentral's name for it is "bacterial SSU rRNA". It matches the Rfam family "Bacterial small subunit ribosomal RNA", at positions 805 to 1482 of the family's 1533-position model. The record is from RNAcentral.